CGCGGGGUGGAGCAGCACGGUAGCUCGUCGGGCUCAUAACCCGAAGGUCGCAGGUUCAAAUCCUGUCCCCGCAACCA
Molecule: transfer RNA, 77 nt
Filed under: Pseudomonas aeruginosa
Lineage: Bacteria; Pseudomonadati; Pseudomonadota; Gammaproteobacteria; Pseudomonadales; Pseudomonadaceae
Also listed under: 1120 other names
Description: tRNA-Met
Rfam family: tRNA
About the family: Transfer RNA (tRNA) molecules are approximately 80 nucleotides in length. Their secondary structure includes four short double-helical elements and three loops (D, anti-codon, and T loops).
Source: RNAcentral